Non-coding RNA from Glycine soja, 91 nucleotides. The record is from Rfam. Lineage: Eukaryota; Viridiplantae; Streptophyta; Magnoliopsida; Fabales; Fabaceae.
CCGACCUUAGCUCAGUUGGUAGAGCGGAGGACUGUAGUGGGGUUACCUAGCUGAAAUCCUUAGGUCGCUGAUUCGAAUCCGGCAGGUCGGA